AUGGGGAGACCCUGGCAGCUGUUCCCACGCCUGCUGCUACUGCUGGUGAACAUUCCCUGGGGGAGCUGCCAGGCCGAGGUUCAGCAGAACCUGUCUGCGGUCACUUGGGAAGGGCAGAACGGCAGCAUCUCUUGCCACUACACGACGAGCACGUUCAGGAGUUUGCAGUGGUUCAGGCAGCUUCCCGGAGGCCAGCCUGCCUUCCUGCUGAUUCUGGUGUCCGAUGGGAAACAAACCAAGGAGCCCAACCUCACCGCAGAGCUGGACAAGGGGAAGCGGCUGAGCUCGCUGCAUAUCAGAGAAUCACAGCUGGGAGACGCAGCCACCUACUUCUGCGCCGUGGCGACACGGUGA
This is a non-coding RNA of Chrysemys picta bellii (western painted turtle), 354 nucleotides long. NCBI's taxonomy places the organism in Eukaryota, Metazoa, Chordata, Testudines, Emydidae. The record is from the annotation of a RefSeq genome assembly.